This 497-nucleotide ribosomal RNA is filed under the name uncultured bacterium. RNAcentral's name for it is "partial 16S ribosomal RNA". It matches the Rfam family "Bacterial small subunit ribosomal RNA", at positions 28 to 507 of the family's 1533-position model. The record is from RNAcentral.
GAUGAACGCUGGCGGCGUGCCUAAUACAUGCAAGUCGAGCGAACAGACGAGGAGCUUUCUCCUCUGACGUUAGCGGCGGACGGGUGAGUAACACGUGGAUAACCUACCUAUAAGACUGUGAUAACUUCGGGAAACCGGAGCUAAUACCGGAUAAUAUAUUUAACCUCAUGGUUCAAUAGUGACAGACGGUUUUGCUUUCCCUUAUAGAUGGAUCCGCGCCGCAUUAGCUAGUUGGUAAGGUAACGGCUUACCAAGGCAACGAUGCGUAGCCGACCUGAGAGGGUGAUCGGCCACACUGGAACUGAGACACGGUCCAGACUCCUACGGGAGGCAGCAGUAGGGAAUCUUACGCAAUGGGAGAAAGCCUGACGGAGAAAAGCCGCGUGAGUGAUGAAGGUCGUCGGAUAGGAAAACUCUGUUAUUAGGGAAGAACAAAUGUGUAAGUAACUAUGCACGUAUUGACGGUACCUAAUCAGAAAGCCACGGCUAACUACGUG